RNAcentral lists this ribosomal RNA (361 nucleotides) under uncultured rumen bacterium. RNAcentral describes it as "partial 16S ribosomal RNA". The record is from RNAcentral.
UAUUCCCCACUGCUGCCUCCCGUAGGAGUCUGGGCCGUGUCUCAGUCCCAAUGUGGCCGUUCACCCUCUCAGGCCGGCUACUGAUCGUCGCCUUGGUGGGCCGUUACCCCGCCAACUAGCUAAUCAGACGCGGGUCCAUCCUGUACCACCGGAGUUUUUCACACUGCUCCAUGCGGAGCUGUGCGCUUAUGCGGUAUUAACAGCCGUUUCCAACUGUUAUCCCCCGGUACAGGGCAGGUUACCCACGUGUUACUCACCCGUCCGCCACUAAAAUUACAAAAUUCCAUCCGAAAACUUCCUUCUGCAAUUUCCGUUCGACUUGCAUGUGUUAGGCACGCCGCCAGCGUUCAUCCUGAGCCAA